RNAcentral lists this long non-coding RNA (4742 nucleotides) under Setaria italica (foxtail millet). RNAcentral describes it as "long non-coding RNA (SITA_LNC005522)". Lineage: Eukaryota; Viridiplantae; Streptophyta; Magnoliopsida; Poales; Poaceae. The record is from RNAcentral.
CCGCCGAGGAGGCCGACGUCCUGCGCGGGUUUUGUGACGCCGAGGCCGCACACAAGGGCAGCCCGCCCCCCGCGGGGCCCGUCCCCGCGCCCGGGAAGCCUCUCGUGUGAUCGUGUCGGGAUCCUCCAAUAAAAAAGCUCCGUGCCAGUGUCAAUUUUGCUUGGGCCUUGGGCUUCUACACGCGCACGUUUGCUGCUGAAUAUAUGCAUUGUGUUUCUGGUUUUGUAAGAAUGUGCCAACGAUGAUGGUGCAAGGCUAAUAAAACGGAUUGAGUGCACCAGCAUGCUCAUGAUUGAUGGUUCAUUUCUUUCUUUCUUUUUCCUUUUUUUUGGGGGUCAAAGCGUGCACAACCAAGCCAGCGUUUUGAGGCCGGAGCCGCACGUGGGCUCGAUCGUUCGAUGUGUUCUGAGGUUUGCAGUGGCCCACCACGCAGGACGAUUUGGGCUGAGCCCUGUGAAUUUGUUGUCCAGCCUCUCUUUCUUCUUCGGUGGACAGGGCACUAUUGCGCUUUUUGUUCAUCGUCCCUAGCGCUAGCGGCAUAGCUACACUCAGACUAAGAUAAGAGAAAUCCUUGCCACAUUUCUUUUAAGAAAACAAACGCAAAAAAACCAAAAAAUCUGGCUCGUUUCAUGACACGAAUUGGUUGCACGGAGCCGAUCGAGUACACUACCAAGUGGCAACGUGCAGAGAGAUGCUGCCCAUCAUCCGAAAGAGGCUCCACCGCACCACGGACAGCCACCCAUUCUCUCUUCAGCCAUCGAUCAUCCAUGUGUAUCUUUCCAGUUCGCUGAUCGAUCUCUGCAUCAGCAUGGUGCCUGUCCAUCUGUACCGCUACUGAUAAGGGCUCUCCCUGGCGCGAUUCGAUGCAACGCCACAUCGACCGGCCAGCAAUAAUGGAGAUGGAGAUGGAGAUGGAGAUGCAGGCCGGCAGCAGCUGCCUGCAUUAUUGAUGCCUUCGAUUGGAUCCAAAGUUCCCAACCUACGUACCAUCACUGCUUUGGAUCGGUGCUAAAGGCACUCAGUCACCAAGCACAAAUCUUGUUUUACUUGAAUCAUCUUUUCCCCGAGCUUUUACAAAGUUAAGUUGAUGAUUCUUCUUGUUGAACUGGUGCUUAGCUUAAUUAGUUGGUGUGUGCUUCCCUACUGACCAGUCAUGACUCAUGAGUAGUAUUCCAUAACUGAAAAUUACGUGCCUCUUUUCACUCCAACGAGGAAACCUUAAUUUGUUUUUUAGAAAUUUUAGAAUGGUUGGAAAAAAUAAGAGCCGUCCAUCCUGAAAAAUCUAACGGUGGAAACAAAGGAAGUAUUUGAAGAGAAGUACCAAAGAUUACCAAAUUGAUAGGACAAAGUACCGAAAAUAGUCUUUAAAUUUAUUUUUUAUUUUUUUUCAAAUUAGACAGAGCCUGUUCGUUUAUGCUACUUUGCAGCGGCUUUAGCUGCAGCUGCAAAUCCAAGUAGCUAAGCUGCUGCUUGCUGGCUGCAGCUGCAAAAUAAUCGCAGCUCGCAGCGGCUUAAAAGAAGCACAAAUGACCGCACAGAUAGUACACUAUCUUGGUUUUCCUUCUCGUGGAGGACCUAGGUCCCAUGUGUAUUUCCUGUUUUUUUGUCACUUUAUAAUCGGCACUGACUGAUUGAUGCAUAGAAGCUUCGAAGAACAACGCCCCUUGGUGAAAACAAGAAAAUAGUGAACACGCUCUCGUUGUCAAGAUAGAGUUAUUAGGAAAUGUCAUCAUUUAAUUACAAUUAGUUGGGGAAUUCUGCCCCACAGAUUGCCAAGUUGGUGUUUCUUUAUUCUAAAAAGGAAUGGAGAUUUCUUUUUCUGAAUGUGUGGUUACAACGGAUGGAUGUAUUAGCCCAAUUUGCCAAACUCACCUUUAGUUAGUUGCAAUGAACAUAUUACGUUUCUUAAAAAUGUACAAUAGAUGUAUUUAUCAUAUAUUCCUUGUCGCAACUAGGUGCUCACAUGCUUGUGGAUUUCGUUUUCAGGAGGGAACGGUCCAUCUGCGGCAUAAUAAUGACAGCACAGUGCACAACCGCAACAACACUUAGGAUACAAAACACACUAAUCAUAUAAUUUCAUAUCCUAAAGAACCCACAAGUAGCUGAUCAAGUGUGUAUCCUACAGAUUCGCAAAAAAAAGUGUGUAUCCUACAGAAAAAUAUGAAUUCUGUCGCCAAAAAUAUCCGGAAAAUGCCUAUAAUUCACGGCGAAUUUAUUCAUCUUUGACAUGAGUAGACAAAGUUGGGCGUUAAAUGUUAAUUUCUAUCUCGAUCAGUCUACUAGACCUAGACAAAGUCUAUUCGAAUCAGGACCCCCAAAUCAAAGAGGAAUAAAUAUCUUGGUUUGGGUCGCCAUCAUUCCGUGUGAUAUGCGAGGGAAGCCCUAUCUAGCCUUUUGUUUUUUUUUUCAACCGGCCGACACCUUCUCCCUCUUGUGAUGCAAUUGCAUCUCAUCGUGAUCAUGCCUUUGCUCAAAGUUAAUGCUAAAGGAGAAAAGGAUUGCCAGAGAUUGCUUAAGCCACAAACAAUAUCGUCAUAUUCAUGCGAGAUACAAACACCUGUAGAUCACAUUUUGAUCUUGAGAACCAGCUUCCUUGAUUUGCGUUAAAAGUUUGUGGAGAACUAAUUUUCAGCUCCCUUGAUUGCACAGAUACCAUGCACAAUUGCACAGAUAGUGCACUAGCAGUGAAGUUCAUGGAUAUCCAAUACAACUAGCUCAAAUAGAAUAUUUUUACACGAGCGACUUUUUUUAGCGAAUUAUUCACAGAAUUGAUUUGAUAUGCAAAAUAUUGGCCGCUUCAAAUAAAUCUGUCAUACCAUUAUAUUUAUAUCUAUGAUUAGAGUGCUGAUCGACCUCGGAAUAUUCUAGUAAGACGGAUUAUCCAUCUGCCGACACUGUACGUCGACUUCGAGCGGAGUCAGCCAAUCGCCAAUUCAAGAGGUCGGCGGGGCCGUGCCGGCCACUACUAUCGCGGGACCCACUGCCCGCUGCCCUACGGUACCCUGUCCGGUGCCGGCCGGUGGGCAGUGCACGUAGAUUCAUAUGUGGGUACGGCAUUUCUCAUUUUGUUGUUGAUUUUGCAGCCACGAAAUAUCGGAACAUAUAUAUUUAUGAAUUAUGACACAUGUUGCAUAGAACAACUUAUUGUUGUGCAUAAACCUACAGCAGUUUUGAUAGUACAAGAUAACCUUUUUCAUAAUGGCCAAAGUACCAUACUUUCAUAUUAUUGAUUAUUCCAUCCAUUCGAAAUUGUAGGUCGUUUUGGUUUUUUUUCUAGAUUCAUAGAUAUUAUUAUGCAUCUAGACACAGUGUAUGUUUAGAUGCGUAAUAAUAUCUAUGAACUAGAAAAGUCAAAACGACCUACAAUUUGGAACGGAGGGAGCACUAAGCUUUUCUAAAUAUAUAGAUUUUGCUAUGUAUUUAAAUAUAAUAUUAUAUCGAGAUACAUAACAAAAAUUAUAUAUUAAAAAAUUAAAAUAAUCUAUAUUUUAAAAUGGAAGGAUCGUUGAAAUUGCUCCAUGACAGAGGUUGAAAUUGCUGGUGAAGUUUUUCCUUGCACUUGUGGAGAUAGAUGGAACCAUUUGCCAAGGACCGUCAAGUUGAUCAUGAAUCCAGCGUCCACGGUUUCAUAAUGCGCUACGCAACAAAGUAUGUACACGUGUCGGGUGUUUAGCUUAUUAUACGUGUACGUAUUUCCACAUCGCAAUAACCCACGUCAGCAGUUAACGACCGUCCCAUUCCGCUGGCCGGCCGGCUCUCCGCCUAUAUAACGCGAGCAAGUGCCGAGGUGCCAAGCAGCAACACAAGUAAGCCAAACACAUCAGCUACCAAGCAAGCACCACCAUCCUAUUGUCACUUUCGCGCUUCAACAAGGCCGUCCCGUUUCAUCCAUGGCGGAGGAGAAGCACCACCACCACCACCUCUUCAACCACAAGAAGGACGAUGAGGCGGCGGAGCAGCCCGCCGGCGGGUACGGCGAGUACACGGAGGCGACCGUGACGGAGGUGGUGUCCACCGGCGAGGACGAGUACGACACGUACAAGAAGGAGGAGAAGGAGCACAAGCACAAGCAGCACCUCGGCGAGGCAGGCGCCGUCGCCGCCGGCGCCUUCGCUCUUGUACGUCCUCCUCCUCCUCGAUCUUUCGUGCUUCCUUCGUUGUGCUGAUCAAUCUUUAAUUUCACUGUGUGAUCUAUCGGCCGCGACGCGAAUGAACUUUGGCUCCGAGUUAAAUAAUUCCUUGUGUGCAUGCAGUACGAGAAGCACGAGGCGAAGAAGGACCCCGAGCACGCGCACCGGCACAAGAUCGAGGAGGAGGUCGCGGCGGCGGCGGCCGUGGGCUCCGGCGGCUUCGCCUUCCACGAGCACCACGAGAAGAAGAAGGACCACAAGGACGCCGAGGAGGCCGGCGGCGAGAAGAAGCACCACCACCUCUUCGGCUGAUCUAGCUCGUCUGCACCAGCACCGACGUGUAUCUCUUGUCUACAUAGUAUGCGCUUCUUAAUUUCUCCGUAUAUAUAUGCUGCGCGUGUGUGAGAGUGUGAGACUGAGAGGCGGGCCCGCGCGCCCGGUGUGUGUAUUUUGGCUUUCCUGCGUACGUACAUACAUGUAUGCGUGUGUUGAAUAAGGGGGCCACGGGUUCCGUAUACGUGGCUUCGUACGUGAUCCGUCGUCAUGUAUCUAUGUGUGUGUAUGUCGUACGGUACGUACGAAUGAAAAAAAUGUAUGCAACUCUAAUUUGCG